UGAACGCUGGCGGCGUGCUUAACNCAUGCAAGUCGAACGAAGCACUUUAACUUGAUUUCUUCGGAUUGAUUGUUCUGUGACUGAGUGGCGGACGGGUGAGUAACGCGUGGGUAACCUGCCUCAUACAGGGGGAUAACAGUUGGAAACGACUGCUAAUACCGCAUAAGCGCACAGGACCGCAUGGUCCGGUGUGAAAAACUCCGGUGGUAUGAGAUGGGUCUGCGUCUGAUUAGCUAGUUGGUGGGGCAACGGCCUACCAAGGCGACGAUCAGUAGCCGGUCUGAGAGGAUGAACGGCCACAUUGGAACUGAGACACGGUCCAGACUCCUACGGGAGGCAGCAGUGGGGAAUCUUCCGCAAUGGGCGAAAGCCUGACGGAGCAACGCCGCGUGAGUGAAGAAGGUCUUCGGAUCGUAAAGCUCUGUUGUCGGGGACGAAUGUUGAGACCAAGAACAUAGGUUUCAAAUGACGGUACCUGACGAGGAAGCCACGGCUAACUACGUG
RNAcentral lists this ribosomal RNA (504 nucleotides) under uncultured bacterium. Its description in RNAcentral is "bacterial SSU rRNA". It matches the Rfam family "Bacterial small subunit ribosomal RNA", at positions 30 to 507 of the family's 1533-position model. The record is from RNAcentral.